UUAAGCCUACGGGGCGCAGCAGUGGGGAAUAUUGGACAAUGGGGGAAACCCUGAUCCAGCGACGCCGCGUGAGUGAAGAAGUAUUUCGGUACGUAAAGCUCUAUCAGCAGGAAAGAAAAUGACGGUACCUGACUAAGAAGCCCCGGCUAACUACGUGCCAGCAGCCGCGGUAAUACGUAGGGGGCAAGCGUUAUCCGGAUUUACUGGGUGUAAAGGGAGCGUAGACGGCAGCGCAAGUCUGGAGUGAAAUGCCGAGGCCCAACACCGGAACUGCUCUGGCAAAUGUGAAGCUGGAGUGCAGGAGA
RNAcentral lists this ribosomal RNA (305 nucleotides) under uncultured bacterium. Its description in RNAcentral is "bacterial SSU rRNA". It matches the Rfam family "Bacterial small subunit ribosomal RNA", at positions 333 to 655 of the family's 1533-position model. The record is from RNAcentral.